CCUACGGGUGGCUGCAGUGGGGGAUAUUGCACAAUGGGCGGAACCCUGAUGCAGCGACGCCGCGUGGGUGAAGAAGCGCCUCGGCGCGUAAAGCCCUGUCAGUAGGGAAGAAAAUGACGGUACCUGUAGAAGAAUCCCCGGCUAACUACGUGCCAGCAGCCGUGGUAAUACGGAGGGGGCAAGCGUUAUCCGGAUUUACUGGGUGUAAUGGGGGCGCAGUCGGCUUUGCAAGCGAGGAGUGAAAGGCCGGGGCCCAACCCCGGGACUGCACGUGGAACUGCGUGGCUGGAGUGCAGGGGGGGCAGGCGGAAUUCGUGGUGUAGCGGUGAAAUGCGUAGAUAUCAGGAGGAACACCGGUGGCGAAGGCGGCCUGCUGGACUGCAACUGACGUUGAGGCCCGAAAGCGUGGGGAGCAAACAGGAUUAGAUACCCCAGUAGUC
Molecule: ribosomal RNA, 440 nt
Filed under: uncultured bacterium
Lineage: Bacteria
Description: partial 16S ribosomal RNA
Rfam family: Bacterial small subunit ribosomal RNA
Source: RNAcentral